RNAcentral lists this transfer RNA (74 nucleotides) under Planctomycetota bacterium. Its description in RNAcentral is "tRNA-Val". It matches the Rfam family "tRNA". From Rfam's summary of the family: Transfer RNA (tRNA) molecules are approximately 80 nucleotides in length. The record is from RNAcentral. Lineage: Bacteria; Pseudomonadati; Planctomycetota.
GGGCGUUUAGCUCAGUUGGCUAGAGCGCGUGGUCGACAUCCACGAGGUCACAGGUUCAAGUCCUGUAACGCCCA